CGUGGCACAGGCAGCGGCGCAGGCGGGGAGGGAGGGGCGCGCUUCCAACCCCUCCACCCCCGGGGCUUCUUCAAAAGCCGCCGCUGUGAUUCGCGGGGCCGCCGCGCAGUAACGCGGGGCGAGGAGGGGAGCCGGGGGGAGGGAUGCUGCGAGGCGGACCCCCGGCAGCCCGACCUGGGGGGUGCUCCGGGGGCGCAGGCGGCGGCCACCCCUGUCCCGUCGUAGCUGCGGCGAGGCGCGGGUUGCACAAAUGGCAGUGCCUUCCAAAAACAAGACUCGGAUGAAACUCUUCUUCUGGAAUUUAGCUGAAGGAAAACACCUUAGAACAUUCGACCUUUUGCUUCACUUUUUUUUUUUUUCCUAAGUUUCCAAAGAAAUGCAAGCUUCCCUUCUUCUCUAGGAAGAGGUAGCCAUUGCUCUUCUUUACACUAGACAUUUCUAAUUUGUUCCGUCUGUCAAAAUGGGACUAUGAGAGGUUUUUGGUGCAAAUUCAUUAUCUCUGGCAACAUACAACCUAUAAUAGGAACUGAAAAAGACCGUGGCAAUGGAGGAACAAUAGGGCUUCAGUUCAUCAGCAACAAAAGCGUUGGGGAAAUUGCUUGAAUUUCAGAGCACGUCCUCCUCAGCAGAGAGGGCUGGACUAGACCUUGGCCAACUCCCCCAAAAAACUUGCAGAGCCUCACAUACAACAGUUCACUUUCUACUCCGGGGCAUAGGAAGCAUUGCAGAAAAAAAGAAAAAAUAUAAGGCAAACCCAAGCCAACUUUCUGUGUUUCUCUCCCAUUUUUCUGGAUGGAACAUUUCUAACUCUUUUAGAGUCCUUGGAACAAGAAUAAUACUGUGGAGCUAAGCAGCACUUUUAAAUAGGGAUGGCGAGGGGAAAGACGUGAAUUUAUGGAAAAUUGGGAGAGCUUUCUCUGCUCUGAGGGGCCUUGGCCGUGGGGAUCUUUGUUUGUCAUCGUUGGCUCAGCUUUCCCCCUAGAUCUGGGGUCACAUCUUUCCCUGAUAAAGGCGAAGAAAUGAAGACAACUCCUGACAGAGAUGCUUCCUACAGCACACCAUAGUAGUGGGAGUGGAAUAGCUGCUGCAUCACUAACACCUGUAAGCAUCACCUGGAAAAGAGUAGUGUAUGGCUAGUGACUUUUCUUCCUGAGGAGAAUGACUGAGAUGUCUGCUUGGAGUUAUUCCUGGAAUUAGACCAGCAUGAGGUCUCCUCUACCAAUCAGAGCAAGGUUUUCCACAAGAAAAAUGAGAGGAAGUUGAGAAUAAAGCCCAUGUACCCCUCGCUGCAUAAAGACACGCAACUAUCAUAGUAUUUCAGUUAUUGUAGGCUGGAUUCUUCUUUGGUUGUUUACAUACCCACCAAUCUGUUGACUUUAUUUAGUUGGAAACCCACUCCUGCUCUGUCUCUAGUACUUGAGAUUGAUCUUAUUUCUCCUACAUUGGAAAAAUGUCUCAGUUGGGGAUGUGUGAAAGGAAGCCAAACACUGGAAGCAGUUCUCAAGUGUUUCUUGCAGAGACACGUACCUAUUUACCUGAAAGUGGCCAGGAGGUUUGACAGGCAUGAUACUACAAUUAUUGUUAUUAUCAACGUGGAUUGAAAGAGCUGAAUGUGAUCCCCUAGCCUGUAUGUGGACUGGUCAGACUUUGUAGACCAUCACUGUUCUGCCAUCUUCAAAAUAAUUCUAAGAAGCUGUUGUACAGAAACGUCAGAGAAAACUCCUAAAAAAAAAAAAAAGGAAAAAUAAAAAAUAAAGGCCUGGCCAAAGGAGAGAGCUCUGCAAUCUCCAUAACACAAGGAGAUAAAAAUGGGAUUGAUCCCCUUUGAACAGUGUUGCUCACCCUCGUACUAGCACAAGAUGGCGUUUGGAACUGACUUGAUGUACAUUUGGCAGGAGGCCAAAGCAGAGCAGAAUCAACAUCCAGAAGAAAAUGCCAAAUACAAGAAAAUAACAGGGACUUAAUAUGAUUUAAUAUCAAUAAAUUGUUUGAGGUCUAUUCAUCACAGCCUGGACUGAAACACUGCUUUUCCUCCAUGUCAUGGAGCCAAACUGUUGAGGAAAGUUUAUGGCAGAAGACCUACUGACCCUGUUCAAGAGCCUGUUCCUACUGUUUUCUACAAUUUCCUCUGUGCUUUUUUAUUAAAGUAACAGAUGAGAAUCACAAAAAGGUUGUGGCUCCUGGAAUCAAGAUAAACUUAAAAAGUUUUGGCUCAAUCCUGUUUUCAAGCUCUUUACUAGAAGUGUGGUGGGACAACCUAUAAAGAAGAAAUACAUUCUGCUGUCUAACUGAGAUCAUCUGGACAAUUCCAAGACAAGUCCUACACCACCCUACCUAUUCUCUAUGGUUCACUGGAGCCUACGCUACUCAAAAAGUCAUGCAGUUUUGGGGCUGUGGAUUUUAGUUUCUUUCCCUCCUAAGACAAAAAUACCCAAAAUAUUAAAGACAGUAUAAACCUGCACCACAGCUGUGUAAGGUGGGCAGAGAGAACAUUUUCCACUAAAACCCUGCUACUGGAGAACUUCCAGAUCCUAAAAAGAAUUUAGAAAAAGUAAAUCACAGGAAUAUCAACAUGGUGUGAAAGAAUGGAAGAUCAAGAGAAAACAGGUUUCACUUUCACUCUCUGGAUUAGAGGGAAGCUCUUCUUGCCUCCUUUUCCUGAGGGAUUGAUGGGUGUGAUGUACAAUGGUGGGUAGCCAGUAAAGACUGGCCCCCAUGUCAGGAAGAUGGAAUAGUCUCAGAGCAGUUCCAAGAAGAACUCAAUUUUAACUGGAUUUGAAGAGGACCGUAAUUAUGCCUUCGAACUUUCAGCAGGCUGUGUCAGAUACAUCAUUUAGAAGGUUCCACAAAUACUGAGGUAUCCCUGCUCCAUGGAGCAGCCUGACAGAGAAACAUUCUGCUAGGUCUAUGAGUUGUGCCGCCUGCAGGUCUGACCACUGGCUACCUCCUGCUACAGAGCUGCUAAGAAAGCCCAAAUUGAUGUACUUGAUCUGUGCUGAGAAUUGCAUGAUGUUCCACAAUUGCAACGAAAGAGGCCAUUAAUUCUGCAAAAGCUACUACAUAAUUUCACGUAGACACUUCCCAUUCAGAAAUAUAUUUCAAUUAAACUAAUUUCUGAAUAAAAAAUUAAGUGGAGAAUUCAGUGGAUGGCACCAGGGUCAAAGUUUGCCAUUCUGGAUUCUCCACUGCUUUGGGGACAGGGACAGUUCUGCUUUUGGACAGCACAUGGGAUAAGAACAAUCUUUGAGAGGAGGCACCACCAAAAUCUGACUCUCAGUAACUUUUAUCUGGUCCCUUUCAUUAUUUCCUUAUUGCAGCAUAUACUGGAAAUGCAGAUUUUCUAUUAAAUUUCUACUCACUUUUGUACUUGCUUUCACCACCAUGGACUACAAUAGACAAAUAAGUUAAUGACAUCUUUUCAUUCUAAGCAUAUAAAUUUCAGAAACAGGCCAAUUUAUAGUCAGUCAUAAUUUUGCAAUGGAAAGCAAUGGGGAAAAGCUAUGAUCAGUACCCAAAACAUGACUUUUCUAUUUUGUAAUAUUUAUAAAUUAUAUCCUAAACCUAAAAAACAGUUUGUUUCUAUGAAAUGUGGUUAUGUAUAUUUAAUUCUUUAAAAAUUUCUUAGAGAACUAUCUUCAUCUUGGCUAUCAAAUUAUUGCUUUCUCAAAAGAUUUACUCCUUUUUUCUUAUUCUUAGCAAUAUAUUAGAGAAGAUAAAAUUCAGUGAAAAAAAUCUUAAGCCAAUUUCAUUUUACUUGUACUUUUAUUGCUAUUUUGCAUUCAUAUUAUAAAAAUAGAAUUUAGUCUUUUAGAAAUCCUCUAGAUCCUUUGCAGACAAAAUCUUUGUUGAUAUUGCUUGAAACAAAGAUUAUAAAAUGGAGUGGUGAGAUUAGUUCUCUGUGUGUGUGUAACAGUGCCUGAUUAUUUUUCAUGCCAUGUUCUCCUAUCUGUUCAGAACACUUUUUCCACCAGUACAACUCAACAUUUGAUAUAAUUAAUAUAUAUCUCUUUUUAAAAUGAAGAGUUCAUGUUGCUUAAAUGUAUCUCUUUGGUUGGACUUUUAAUAAAAUAUUUCAACUAUUUUAAAUUGCCAUUUCUAGACCUUUCAGAAAGUUAAGCUGACAAAGAGGCUUCUCUUUUUGAUCUUGAUCAUUUUAAUCUGGGUAUUAUGGUGAUGGCUAAAGUCUAAAGAUCUGUGCAGCACCAUCCUAUAGUGAUAGUAGAAUUAAAAUAGCACACAGUACUUAAUUUUAAAUAAAUUUUUUUAAACGUUUGGGCCACACAAUAUAUGACCAUAACACAUUCAUCGCUGUUAUAGAAUAAAUGGCUUUGAGAGCUGUGGAUUUAUUUCAGUGUUCCGAACUGUUCUGGAGAGAGUGCUUAAACCUGCAUAGUGGCAAUAGUGGAAACAAGGUACUUGAGGCAUUGCUUCUUCACAGAUAGGGCAGAGCUAAACUCCGCUCAGUGACCAUCAGAGAGGAGUGCAGCAGCUUAGACUUCCAGUGGAUAUCAUGAUAGCUUUGCUUUCUUCCCCUAAAUUAAUAGAGUGGGACUAACUGUUGGUGCACUGGGCAAGGUGCAUUUAGCUGCAGGUCCAGCUACAUUUCCAUACAAUGAAGUGUUGAUAUCAGACAAACUGCAGGUAACCAUCUGGAAAAGAGGAAAAUCUGCUCAUGGACAACCAUCCUACUCCCCAUUAACUACAAGUCUUUUCUCUAACCUCUAAACAUUUGAGCUAAUGGGAAUACAGUGCUGAGCAAGGAAUCAACUGUGCUGGCUAAAGGGCUGCUGUCUUGCUUCCACUUUAGAAGUGAGAAGAACAAGAACUGAAUUGUUACUCUAAUACAUCAAGUCUCUUCAGAGCAUCUUACAUGGGAACUCAUUUAAACAUUCUUGCUUGGGAAUAAUUCAUGGGAUAGGUAGAUCUGGCUUCAGAUUUGUAACGGAUAUUGCAUAAUAGAAAGUAAAACAGCAAAAAGUACAAAAUUUGGACCUUAAGUGUAUGCAUACAGUAUUUGAGGGCAAAAUUAGUCCCACGUUACUUAACAGAAAAUCAGAAGAGACAUGGACCUACAACACUAAUUGUUACCCUAGGAGGAUGAAGGCAGUGCCACCAAUAUCCAAAAAUGUGCAAAGAAAAAAAACCAUGCAUUUUUGUAUUUCCCUUUUGACUUUUAUUUUCAUCUGUGUGACAUUGAGUUGAAGAGUUAAUAAAUUUUCGUUGCUACAAGAGGUCAUUUCACAACUAAAUGUAGCAAUUUGAAGUGGGAAAUGUAACAAACACCAAGAAGAUGUUUAAUGAAGUGGCAUUCUGGAUGUACUUGUUAAAGAGUACAUUUGCAGAACUGUUUGAUUGCUUAGAGUAUGUAGGAAGCUAUAAACCCAGCAGAGCAUUAGUGCUGAUUUUCAGAAUUGCAUUCAGCUCAAACGUCACCAUUCCACUUGGAAUUGCAAAUAAAUCUAAUACUGAAUUACCUAAUAUCAUGAAAAUGUUACUAUGCAAUUUGCAUAGCAAAAUGCUCAGAAAAACGGCGCUUCCUUCAGCCUAAACAUUAAGAACAUAAGACUUGAAUCUGCUUAUUAAUAUUAAAACAACUGCAGCCAGUCUUAAGAUUGAUGAAAAAGUUUUGUUUAAACAGCACAGAGCUGCAGUUUAACCAUGUCUCACAUCAGUUGGAUCUUUACAUUUUUGCCUGCUGACAGCAACUGUAAAAUAGUUUACUUAUAAAGUGCCAAUAUGCUAAUACUCCAACUGUCAAUAUUGAUUUUAUUUAAAAGAAGCAGGCUGUCUGAGUGGCUUUGCAUGUCAAUGCAUAGGCUCAGUGCCUAACACUGUUCAAUGUUCAUUUCAGCUUCUAAAUCGCAGCAUGCAAUGUACAGAAUUCAAUCUUUGGCCCAAUUAUUAUUGAAAGAGCAAGAAAUCAUAGAUAUCUAAUCACAUUGGAAUUGACUUUGCUGCUGGAAAGAGUUUGGUUUUGUGUCAGUCUUAUUACCAUUAAUUGGUGUCAAUCAGAUAUCUUAAAUAAAAAACAAAUGCUAGUCCUUCCUAUUA
Pipra filicauda (Wire-tailed manakin) is the source of this 6051-nucleotide long non-coding RNA. RefSeq lists it as uncharacterized. NCBI's taxonomy places the organism in Eukaryota, Metazoa, Chordata, Aves, Passeriformes, Pipridae. The transcript is spliced from 11 exons. The record is from RefSeq and is a predicted model, not a curated record.